UACGUAGGUGGCAAGCGUUAUCCGGAAUUAUUGGGCGUAAAGCGCGCGCAGGCGGUUUCUUAAGUCUGAUGUGAAAGCCCACGGCUCAACCGUGGGGGGUCAUUGGAAACUGGGGAACUUGAGUGCAGAAGAGAAAAGCGGAAUUCCACGUGUAGCGGUGAAAUGCGUAGAGAUGUGGAGGAACACCAGUGGCGAAGGCGGCUUUUUGGUCUGUAACUGACGCUGAGGCGCGAAAGCGUGGGGAGCAAACAGG
Molecule: ribosomal RNA, 253 nt
Filed under: uncultured bacterium
Lineage: Bacteria
Description: partial 16S ribosomal RNA
Rfam family: Bacterial small subunit ribosomal RNA
Source: RNAcentral